CCUUUAGAUACCCGGGUAGUCCACGCCGUAAACGAUGAUAACUAGCUGUUCGGACUCUUAGAGCCCGAGUGGCAAAGCUAACGCAUUAAGUUAUCCGCCUGGGGAGUACGGUCGCAAGAUUAAAACUCAAAGGAAUUGACGGGGGCCUGCACAAGCGGUGGAGCAUGUGGUUUAAUUCGAAGCAACGCGCAGAACCUUACCAGCGUUUGACAUCCUGAUCGCGGAAAUCGGAGACGAUUUCCUUCGGUUCGGCCGGAUCAGUGACAGGUGCUGCAUGGCCGCCGUCAG
RNAcentral lists this ribosomal RNA (288 nucleotides) under uncultured bacterium. RNAcentral's name for it is "partial 16S ribosomal RNA". It matches the Rfam family "Bacterial small subunit ribosomal RNA", at positions 773 to 1058 of the family's 1533-position model. The record is from RNAcentral.